RNAcentral lists this ribosomal RNA (425 nucleotides) under uncultured bacterium. RNAcentral describes it as "partial 16S ribosomal RNA". It matches the Rfam family "Bacterial small subunit ribosomal RNA", at positions 359 to 776 of the family's 1533-position model. The record is from RNAcentral.
GAAUUUUGGACAAUGGGCGCAAGCCUGAUCCAGCCAUGCCGCGUGAGUGAAGAAGGCCUUCGGGUUGUAAAGCUCUUUCGGACGGAAAGAAAUCGCGCAGGCUAAUAACCUGCGCGGAUGAAGGUACCGCCCAAAGAAGCACCGGCUACCUAACGGCCACCUGCCGCGGUAAUACGUAGGGUGCGAGAGUUAAUCGGAAUUACUGGGCGUAAAGCGUGCGCAGGCGGUUGAUUACGACAGGCGUGAAAUCCCCGGGCUUAACCUGGGAACUGCGCUUGUGACUGGUCAGCUAGAGUACGGCAGAGGGGGGUGGAAUUCCACGUGUAGCAGUGAAAUGCGUAGAGAUGUGGAGGAACACCGAUGGCGAAGGCAGCCCCCUGGGCCGAUACUGACGCUCAUGCACGAAAGCGUGGGUAGCAAACAGG